RNAcentral lists this small RNA (2035 nucleotides) under Pan troglodytes (chimpanzee). RNAcentral describes it as "retained intron". Lineage: Eukaryota; Metazoa; Chordata; Mammalia; Primates; Hominidae. The record is from RNAcentral.
UUGGAGCAAGCGGCGGCGGCGGAGACAGAGGCAGAGGAAGAAGCUGGGGCUCCGUCCUCGCCUCCCACGAGCGAUCCCCGAGGAGAGCCGCGGCCCUCGGCGAGGCGAAGAGGCCGACGAGGAAGACCCGGGUGGCUGCGCCCCUGCCUCGCUUCCCAGGCGCCGGCGGCUGCAGCCUUGCCCCUCUUGCUCGCCUUGAAAAUGGAAAAGAUGCUUGCAGGCUGCUUUCUGCUGAUCCUCGGACAGAUCCUCCUCCUCCCUGCCGAGCCCAGGGAGCGGUCACGUGGGAGGUCCAUCUCUAGGGGCAGACACGCUCGGACCCACCCGCAGACGGCCCUUCUGGAGAGCUCCUGUGAGAACAAGCGGGCAGACCUGGUUUUCAUCAUUGACAGCUCCCGCAGUGUCAACACCCAUGACUAUGCAAAGGUCAAGGAGUUCAUCGUGGACAUCUUGCAAUUCUUGGACAUUGGUCCUGAUGUCACCCGAGUGGGCCUGCUCCAAUAUGGCAGCACUGUCAAGAAUGAAUUCUCCCUCAAGACCUUCAAGAGGAAGUCCGAGGUGGAGCGUGCUGUCAAGAGGAUGCGGCAUCUGUCCACGGGCACCAUGACGGGGCUGGCCAUCCAGUAUGCCCUGAACAUCGCAUUCUCAGAAGCAGAGGGGGCCCGGCCCCUGAGGGAGAAUGUGCCACGGGUCAUAAUGAUCGUGACGGAUGGGAGACCUCAGGACUCCGUGGCCGAGGUGGCUGCUAAGGCACGGGACACGGGCAUCCUAAUCUUUGCCAUUGGUGUGGGCCAGGUAGACUUCAACACCUUGAAGUCCAUUGGGAGUGAGCCCCAUGAGGACCAUGUCUUCCUUGUGGCCAAUUUCAGCCAGAUUGAGACGCUGACCUCCGUGUUCCAGAAGAAGUUGUGCACGGCCCACAUGUGCAGCACCCUGGAGCAUAACUGUGCCCACUUCUGCAUCAACAUCCCUGGCUCAUACAUCUGCAGGUGCAAACAAGGCUACAUUCUCAACUCGGAUCAGACGACUUGCAGAAUCCAGGAUCUGUGUGCCAUGGAGGACCACAACUGUGAGCAGCUGUGUGUGAAUGUGCCGGGCUCCUUCGUCUGCCAGUGCUACAGUGGCUACGCCCUGGCUGAGGAUGGGAAGAGGUGUGUGGCUGUGGACUACUGUGCCUCAGAAAACCACGGAUGUGAACAUGAGUGUGUAAAUGCUGAUGGCUCCUACCUUUGCCAGUGCCAUGAAGGAUUUGCUCUUAACCCAGAUAAAAAAACGUGCACAAAGAUAGACUACUGUGCCUCAUCUAAUCACGGAUGUCAGCACGAGUGUGUUAACACAGAUGAUUCCUAUUCCUGCCACUGCCUGAAAGGCUUUACCCUGAAUCCAGAUAAGAAAACCUGCAGAAGGAUCAACUACUGUGCACUGAACAAACCGGGCUGUGAGCAUGAGUGCGUCAACACGGAGGAGAGCUACUACUGCCGCUGCCACCGUGGCUACACUCUGGACCCCAAUGGCAAAACCUGCAGCCGUGAGUGUACCCUAGGGGUGGGGUGCUGAUGGAGGGUGGGGUCCACUCACGGACGCGGGCGGGUUCACUAGCAACCAGUUAUUUCUGGAGCCCACCGGGUUUCCUGAUGGUCUGUCAGGUGUAUCCUUCCUUAUCCUCAGUUUCAUCACCCAUAGAAUGUGACUAUUAAUACUAUCGGCCUAGCCAACUUGGGUUGCAAGGAUUAAAAGAAUUAAUAGGAAUAGGCCGGGCGCGGUGGCUCACGCCUGUAAUCCCAGCACAGGGAGGCCAAGGCGGGCAGAUCACCUGAGGUCAGGAGUUCAAGACCAGCCUGGCCAACAACAUGGUGAAACCCUAUCUCUACUAAAAAUACAAAAAAUUAGCUGGGUGUGGUGGUGGGUGCCUGUAAUCCCAGCUACUCGGGAGGCUGAGGCAGGAGAAUUACUCGAACCUAGGAGGCAGAGGUUGCAGUGAGCCAAGAUUGCGCCAUUGUACUCCAACCUGGGCGACAAAGCAAAACUUCAUCUC